This is a long non-coding RNA of Rosa rugosa (rugosa rose), 1343 nucleotides long. RefSeq lists it as uncharacterized. The transcript has 3 exons. The record is from RefSeq and is a predicted model, not a curated record. NCBI's taxonomy places the organism in Eukaryota, Viridiplantae, Streptophyta, Magnoliopsida, Rosales, Rosaceae.
UAUUCUUUUCGGGAGUGAAAUUUGCACACUCCUAUUUGCAAACUACACACCCUUUCACUUUUUAAAUAAUAUUUCAACUCAACAUUUUUCGCACUUCCUAAAAUACCCUCAAAAUCAGAUUUUUCUUUUUUGUCUUUUUGGGUCCUCUCUCUCUCUCUCAUCAACUCAAUUCAAAAUCCCAAAUACCAAAUGCUAUUAAAUAAAUUUGAUGAUGCAGGACCGUCUAUUGGGCGCCGGACUUGGAAGCAUACUCACCGGAAUCCGACGAAGCAUCUACAACUCCAUUUCUGAGGGACGUCGUUUUGCGAUCUUGAUAAUAUAGGUUGAUUUUGAUUUGGGUGGGUUGUUAAUAAUUUGGUGUGGACUUUUGAAUAGGUGGGAUUCUAGGUCGAUUGUGGGAGACUUUGAUGGGCAUUCGAAACGUGUUUUGAGCUGUUGUUUUAAGCCAACAAGACCCUUUCGCAUUGUCACAUGCGGUGAGGAUUUCCUGGUCAAUUUCUAUGAAGGGCCUCCUUUCAAAUUCAAGCAGUCUCACAGGGAUCACUCGAAUUUUGUGAACUGUGUAAGCUAGGUACUCUCCAGAUGGGAGUAAGUUUAUCACUGUAAGCUCAGAUAAGAAGGGUCUUAUUUUUGAUGGGAAGACUGCGGAGAAGAUCGGAGAGCUUUCAUCGGAAGAUGGCCACAAAGGCAGCAUUUAUGCUCUUAGCUAGAGUCCUGAUGGCAAACAGAGUUUGACUGUGUCCGCUGACAAGUCGGCGAAAGUAUGGGAUAUAUGUGAGGAUGGUAAUGGGAAGGUGAAUAAACAUUGACAUGUCCUGGAUCAGGUCGAGUGGAUGACAUGCUUGUUGGUGGCCUAUGGCAGAAUGAUCAUAUAGUUACUGUUUCACUUGGCGUUGAUCAGGAAGGGGGUGAGGAAGAGCCUUCGCAGACGAGAAAGGAGAGUAGGGAACGAUUGGCGGUGCGGUUGGGUCGGGGCUGAGAUGGGCGCGAACCCAGUCGACUACUGCUCGAACCCAUUUCAACAAGAAGAAGACGAAAGCUUCAGAAAUGAAUAAAGAGACUGAGAUUGAUGAUAAUGGAAGCACGACCCAACUGAGAAAGAAGGGUCAGAGAGAGAGAGAGGAUCCAAAAGAAAAAUCUACAUUGAGGGUAUUUUAGGAAGUGCAAAAACUGUUGAGUUGAAAUAUUAUUAAAAAAUAAAAAAAGUGAACGGAUGUGUAGUUUGCAAAUAGGGGUGUGCAAAUUUCACCUCCCAUUCUUUUAUCUAUUAAAAUCCAAACUAUGAAUUUCACCCAAAAAAAAAAAAUUCAAAACCAAAUUAUGCCUGUAUGUCAGUAUGUGUA